RNAcentral lists this ribosomal RNA (253 nucleotides) under uncultured bacterium. Its description in RNAcentral is "partial 16S ribosomal RNA". It matches the Rfam family "Bacterial small subunit ribosomal RNA", at positions 524 to 776 of the family's 1533-position model. The record is from RNAcentral.
UACGUAGGGACCAAGCGUUUUCCGUAAUCAUUGGGCGUAAAGAGCGUGUAGGCGGCUUGUUAAGUCUUGCGUGAAAUCUCGGGGCUCAACCCCGAGCGGUCGUGAGAAACUGGCAGGCUAGAGUGCGGGAGAGGAGAGUGGAAUUCCUGGUGUAGCGGUGAAAUGCGCAGAUAUCAGGAAGAACACCCGUGGCGAAGGCGGCUCUCUGGAACGCAACUGACGCUGAGACGCGAAAGCGUGGGGAGCAAACAGG